AGAGUUUGAUCAUGGCUCAGAUUGAACGCUGGCGGCAUGCCUUACACAUGCAAGUCGAACGCGAAAGGGGGCAACCCCGAGUAGAGUGGCGAACGGGUGAGCAAUACAUCGGAACAUUUCCUGUAGCGGGGGACAACCCCGAGAAAUCGGGGCUAAUACCGCAUACGAUCUACGGAUGAAAGUGGGGGACCGCAAGGCCCCACACUAUAGGAGUGGCCGAUGCCGGAUUAGCUAGUUGGUGAGGUAAUGGCCCACCAAGGCGACGAUCCGUAGCUGGUUUGAGAGAACGACCAGCCACACUGGGACUGAGACACGGCCCAGACUCCUACGGGAGGCAGCAGUGGGGAAUUUUGGACAAUGGGCGAAAGCCUGAUCCAGCCAUGCCGCGUGAGUGAAGAAGGCCUUCGGGUUGUAAAGCUCUUUCGGCGGGGACGAAAUAGCGCGGGGUAAUAUCCCGCGUUGAUGACGGUACCCGAAGAAGAAGGACCGGCUAACUACGUGCCAGCAGCCGCGGUAAUACGUAGGGUCCAAGCGUUAAUCGGAAUUACUGGGCGUAAAGCGUGCGUAGGCGGUUUCGCAAGUCCGAUGUGAAAUCCCCGGGCUUAACCUGGGAACUGCGUUGGAAACUACGAAGCUAGAGUGCGGCAGAGGGGGGUGGAAUUCCAGGUGUAGCAGUGAAAUGCGUAGAGAUCUGGAGGGACACCGAUGGCGAAGGCAGCCCCCUGGGUUAGCACUGACGCUCAUACACGAAAGCGUGGGGAGCAAACAGGAUUAGAUACCCUAGUAGUCC
Molecule: ribosomal RNA, 790 nt
Filed under: uncultured bacterium
Lineage: Bacteria
Description: bacterial SSU rRNA
Rfam family: Bacterial small subunit ribosomal RNA
Source: RNAcentral